GUGGCUGCUGGUGUAGCAUAGCCUUAGCUGGAGUCUCCCCUGUAUGAACUGGACAUGCCUCUCCAACACUGGGACUUAUCACUGCUUGUUAAGAUCUGUUUCCAUCUGUGUCUGCAAAGUCCUUUGACUCUCCUCUUGAAAAGCCUCUAAUUAACUCAGAGUCCUGUGUGUAUAAUUGGCUGAUCCUCAGCACCUUAUAGUUGUGAGUUUCUUUAUUUCUCCUCCCAUCUGAAUUGCUUCAGUGUCACACCUGAUCCUCCAGGCAUUUAAAAAGGGAUGGGAGGUGUUAUUGGCUAGGAGCUUUUUAAUAAAGUGCCUUGUGUUUUGCCAGCCCAGCCCUGAGGAGAGGGGCUGGCUCCUUUCUCAGGCAGGGGAUAGAGCUGAGAAUGUGCUGGUUUGCUGUGGUGCUCAGAGAGACCAAGGGGCUAUAAUCUGUACCAAGGACAUCCACUAAGGCUGUGAAGACAUCAUUAAAGCAAUGGUGCUGCAGGGGGAAUGGAACAAUCUCCAGAAUGGUCCCAAGUAGUUUUAAGAAGCAGAAGAAAACUGUAAAAGGUGGCACAGGGGAUGCUGUGAGCUGGGGACUGCUGGGCACCCACUGCUGUGGUGUGAGCGCAUACAGAUCCUGUGGGAUGCUGUGGGGCUGCCGAGGACUGCACAGUGAAACCCUGCAAAAAUGGGGAAAGUAUCCUAUGUAUUAACUCCCACAGUGUUGGGGGUUAGGAUUUUUCCUUUUGUUUCUUUCUCUCAGGGAACUUUCUUCUAUUUGUUGCUGGGACAAAUAGGAGCUGUAGUUAAGAGAGACAAAAGAUAUAGCCAAGGAGAAGGGGAAGAAGGGCAGCUGGCUGAGGGGCAUUCUCUUGGGAAGGGCAGAGAUUUGGGCUGGGGGAAGGGGAAAGGGCAGCUCCUCACUCUCCAUCACUCUUGACAUUGGAGGGGAGACAGGCUGGAGAGAAUUCACCUGCACUG
Molecule: long non-coding RNA, 969 nt
Organism: Passer domesticus (house sparrow)
Lineage: Eukaryota; Metazoa; Chordata; Aves; Passeriformes; Passeridae
Exons: 3
Source: RefSeq, a predicted model, not a curated record